UCGGGGGUAAUUCAAUGGCAGAAUGCUCGGCUGUUAACCGAGUCGUUGUGGGUUCGAGUCCCACCCCCCGAG
This 72-nucleotide transfer RNA is filed under the name Solirubrobacterales bacterium. Its description in RNAcentral is "tRNA-Asn". It matches the Rfam family "tRNA". From Rfam's summary of the family: Transfer RNA (tRNA) molecules are approximately 80 nucleotides in length. Their secondary structure includes four short double-helical elements and three loops (D, anti-codon, and T loops). RNAcentral also lists the same sequence under 5 other names. Lineage: Bacteria; Bacillati; Actinomycetota; Thermoleophilia; Solirubrobacterales. The record is from RNAcentral.